The submitters of this non-coding RNA (80 nucleotides) gave its source as unclassified sequences. The record is from Rfam.
CUUGUGGAUUGUUAUAUCAAAUGAGAGUAGAUUUUAUACCUCAGAGUAUAAAGACAAAAUCAGACAGGAUGAAGCAAGAA